Long non-coding RNA from Corvus hawaiiensis (hawaiian crow), 576 nucleotides. RefSeq lists it as uncharacterized. Lineage: Eukaryota; Metazoa; Chordata; Aves; Passeriformes; Corvidae. The transcript has 3 exons. The record is from RefSeq and is a predicted model, not a curated record.
GCUGAGAGAGACCAGGAUCCCUUGGAAACCCAGGAGUUAAUGGGGCACAGUGGUGGCACCCUAACAUCGGGAGCAAUGUCCCCAGCACCCCAAACAUCCUCAGAGGAUAGUGGGGAUGAAGGAACAAGUGAGACUGGCUCAGGAAUAUCAUCCAGAACUAGGAGCAAGACCCCUGUAGAAAAGAAGCUCAUAGCACCACUUAGACAAGUGGUGGGGCCAGAUGGGGGAAUAACAAAAGUUAAAACACCAUUUACAGCUUUGGAUUUAGAUACCUGGAGGGAGGCAGCCAGAAUGCAUAGAGAAGACCCUGAAAAGGUAGCAAAGAGGUUUGAAUUGGUUGUUAGAAAUCAAGAUAUUGAUUGGGAGGAUAUAGACCUCGUGCUGUCAGAAUUAACUGAGACAGAAAAAGCUGCUGUAGUAUCCACAGCAAGAACACACAAGAUUAUGAAUCUACAACUAUGGACUCAUUGUGAAACCUUUAUACCAACUCCUAAAAGAGACUGGGGGAACUCACCUAUGCUGGACACCAGAGACUAAUAAUGCAUUGAUAACUCCGAAACGUGAGUUAAUGCAAGC